UACAGAGGGUGCAAGCGUUGUCCGGAAUCACUGGGCGUAAAGGGCGCGUAGGUGGCCUGAUAAGUAGGAGGUGAAAUCCUGGGGCUUAACCUCAGGGCUGCCUUCUAGACUGUCCGGCUCGAGCACAGUAGAGGCAGGUGGAAUUCCCGGUGUAGCGGUGGAAUGCGUAGAGAUCGGGAAGAACAUCGGUGGCGAAGGCGGCCUGCUGGGCUGUUGCUGACACUGAGACGCGACAGCGUGGGGAGCAAACAGG
RNAcentral lists this ribosomal RNA (253 nucleotides) under uncultured bacterium. RNAcentral's name for it is "partial 16S ribosomal RNA". It matches the Rfam family "Bacterial small subunit ribosomal RNA", at positions 524 to 776 of the family's 1533-position model. The record is from RNAcentral.